GAUGAACGCUAGCGAUAGGCUUAACACAUGCAAGUCGAGGGGCAGCAUGGUCUUAGCUUGCUAAGGCUGAUGGCGACCGGCGCACGGGUGCGUAACGCGUAUGCAACUUGCCUCACAGAGGGGGAUAACCCGUCGAAAGACGGACUAAUACCGCGUACACUCUAUGUUGGGCAUCCAAUGUAGAGGAAAUGAAAUUCGCUGUGAGAUAGGCAUGCGUCCCAUUAGCUAGUUGGUGAGGUAACGGCUCACCAAGGCGACGAUGGGUAGGGGAACUGAGAGGUUGAACCCCCACACUGGUACUGAGACACGGACCAGACUCCUACGGGAGGCAGCAGUGAGGCAUAUUGGUCAAUGGGCGAGAGCCUGAACCAGCCAAGUCGCGUGAAGGAUGACUGUCUUAUGGAUUGUAAACUUCUUUUAUACGGGAAUAACAAGAGUCACGUGUGGCUCCCUGCAUGUACCGUAUGAAUAAGCAUCGGCUAACUCCGUG
This 490-nucleotide ribosomal RNA is filed under the name uncultured bacterium. RNAcentral describes it as "partial 16S ribosomal RNA". It matches the Rfam family "Bacterial small subunit ribosomal RNA", at positions 28 to 507 of the family's 1533-position model. The record is from RNAcentral.